CCACAUCAUGCUGAAACACUGGUUCCCAUACAAUCACUGAAGUUAAGCAACUUCGUGCCUGAUCAGUACCUAGAUGGGUGACUGUUUGAGAAUACCAGGCACUGUAAG
Non-coding RNA from Acanthosepion pharaonis, 108 nucleotides. The record is from the annotation of a GenBank genome assembly. Lineage: Eukaryota; Metazoa; Mollusca; Cephalopoda; Sepiida; Sepiidae.